CUGCAGACCUCCCAUUAUUCAUUUGUCUGCAUGUCCAACUCUUACUGAUAACACACACUUGAAGUUUGAAAGUGUUGGAGUGGCACUCUGGUUCAUUGUUCACUGGUUGGUUAGCUCAGCUAAAAGUUAGCUGGCAGUGCUGAGAAGCUGCAACAUUUCAAUGAGUUGCAUACAUAUCAACUUCUCCUGUAGUGUUGAAACACUGAAGAUGUCCCCCUAUAUAUAUACAACAGGUAGCUUGCCUUGUGUAUGCAGGCGUCAAACAGGGAAAGUUUGAGAAUUCUGGAAGUUAUUUGCGUGUGAACUUCUGGUCAUAUUUCAACUCCAUGUGGCAUGUUUCUUGAAUACUUCAGGACAUCUUUUUAAGAAGAUCAAUGAACGACUUGCAGUAGUAACUUGAGAAUAACUGUGGGUCAGUAACUGUGCAGGAUGUGAAUACUGUUCAGGUUGGAGCAGUCAACUUCUAGCUUCUUAUGUAUGAAAACUAGUGGUGAAAAUAAUCGUUUCAGCAGUAAAUAUGGACUUCAUAGCCAUUUAUCACUUGUUUUGGAGGCAAUAAAGCAUGAUUAAUUGAACUUUAAACCAUUUUACACAAAUUAUUUAGAAUCCUGCAUGCACAAUAUUUUUAUGAACUUACAGGUACUGCCUCCAAGCUUGAGUUAUGCAAAGUUAUGCAGAACAAAAAUAAGAUGAUUAUGUUUCUGUGGG
Long non-coding RNA from Schistocerca gregaria, 708 nucleotides. RefSeq lists it as uncharacterized. Lineage: Eukaryota; Metazoa; Arthropoda; Insecta; Orthoptera; Acrididae. The record is from RefSeq and is a predicted model, not a curated record. The transcript is spliced from 3 exons.